CUGCCAAAGUAUGCUAGGGAGAAGAAUUUCCCUUCAGCCUCUGUCACAUUGUCCGUGUCAUUCUCUGAUGACGGAUUUACAAAAUUAUGUGCAUUAAGUGCUUGUGUGAAGGGUUCAAUUUGAAAUGCCUCUUUGGUGAUCAUGUGGCUUGGUUAGCUGACUGCAGUUGCUAACUGUUUGAUUAGGACACUGUUGACACAAGCCAUAGUCUCACUUGCAUAAAGGCAUCAUUACAGCUUCAUUUCUCAGUUCCUCAAGAAAAAAGCUGCUAUGCUGAAAUUCUAUACUUCCAUAUUCCUGAAGUCCUUGUUCUCCUGCAUUUAGAGUUCGUGUUGUGUCGGCGGAGAUGGCUAUGAUUGAGUUCAAAAGGAAGUAGACAAUGCAAUACACUCCAGCAUUAGAGGAUGGAAGAAUGGUUUUGCCUAUGAAGAGGUAUGUCACUUCACGCAGGUGCAUCUAGAAGGUAUAGCAUUAAACCUCUAUAUAUUCUCGAAAUUAAUUCAACUAAGAUGCUCUUGAUCUCUAUCUGAGCUUGUACGUCUGGCAUUCCAAGUGACAAAGAAUUCGUGGUCCCAAAGCACUCUUAAGUUGUUCUCCAAGCGUGCAAAAAGAGAGCUUCUCUCGUGCCUUUUUCGGUGGCCGUGAUCCUUUUUUCAGUUUGCCUUAUGGGCACAAGGAUGCC
Phoenix dactylifera (date palm) is the source of this 682-nucleotide non-coding RNA. The record is from RefSeq and is a predicted model, not a curated record. NCBI's taxonomy places the organism in Eukaryota, Viridiplantae, Streptophyta, Magnoliopsida, Arecales, Arecaceae.